GAUCUUAUAUUCAAUAAAUGAUUUUGAAUUGCAAAUUCAAAGUAGUGCUUGCACUGAGAUCU
Molecule: transfer RNA, 62 nt
Filed under: Appolonius crassus
Lineage: Eukaryota; Metazoa; Arthropoda; Insecta; Hemiptera; Rhyparochromidae
Description: tRNA-Cys
Source: RNAcentral